RNAcentral lists this ribosomal RNA (484 nucleotides) under uncultured bacterium. RNAcentral describes it as "partial 16S ribosomal RNA". It matches the Rfam family "Bacterial small subunit ribosomal RNA", at positions 30 to 507 of the family's 1533-position model. The record is from RNAcentral.
AUUGAACGCUGGCGGCAGGCCUAACACAUGCAAGUCGAGCGGAUGAAGGGAGCUUGCUCCUGGAUUCAGCGGCGGACGGGUGAGUAAUGCCUAGGAAUCUGCCUGGUAGUGGGGGAUAACGUCCGGAAACGGGCGCUAAUACCGCAUACGUCCUGAGGGAGAAAGUGGGGGACCUUCGGACCUCACGCUAUCAGAUGAGCCUAGGUCGGAUUAGCUAGUUGGUGGGGUAAAGGCCUACCAAGGCGACGAUCCGUAACUGGUCUGAGAGGAUGAUCAGUCACACUGGAACUGAGACACGGUCCAGACUACUACGGGAGGCAGCAGUGGGGAAUAUUGGACAAUGGGCGAAAGCCUGAUCCAGCCAUGCCGCGUGUGUGAAGAAGGUCUUCGGAUUGUAAAGCACUUUAAGUUGGGAGGAAGGGCAGUAAGUUAAUACCUUGCUGUUUUGACGUUACCAACAGAAUAAGCACCGGCUAACUUCGUG